Mesorhizobium sp. LNJC405B00 is the source of this 88-nucleotide non-coding RNA. The record is from Rfam. NCBI's taxonomy places the organism in Bacteria, Pseudomonadati, Pseudomonadota, Alphaproteobacteria, Hyphomicrobiales, Phyllobacteriaceae.
GGCAGGCAAGCGCCGGAGCUACCCCGAGUUGCCUUAGGGCAGCAGCAUCCUAGCGAUGUGCAUCAGGGGUCCGGGGGCCUGUCACCUU